AACGAACGCUGGCGGCAUGCCUAACACAUGCAAGUCGAACGAGACCUUCGGGUCUAGUGGCGCACGGGUGCGUAACGCGUGGGAACCUGCACUUAGGUUCGGAAUAACUCCCCGACAGGGGUGCCAAUACCGGAUAAUGUCUUCGGACCAAGGAUUUAUCGCCUUUGGCUGGGCCAGCGUUGGAUUAGCUAGUUGGUAGGGUAAAAGCCUAACAAGGCGACGAUCCAUAGCUGGUCUGAGAGGAUGAUCAGCAACACUGGGACUGAGACACGGCCCAGACUCCUACGGGAUGCAGCAGUGGGGAAUAGUGGACAAUGGGCGAAAUCCUGAUCCAGCAAUGCCGCGUGAGUGAUGAAGGCCGUAGGGUUGUAAAGCGCUUUUACCCGGGAUGAUAAUGACAGUACCGGGAGAAUAAGCUCCGGCUAACUCCGUG
Molecule: ribosomal RNA, 433 nt
Filed under: uncultured bacterium
Lineage: Bacteria
Description: partial 16S ribosomal RNA
Rfam family: Bacterial small subunit ribosomal RNA
Source: RNAcentral